GUGAGCAUGGCGUAGUGUUUUGAAUGUUUGACUAUGACUCUGGAGACCGGGGUUCAAAUCCCUGCUUGGCCACG
Molecule: non-coding RNA, 74 nt
Organism: Phrynosoma platyrhinos (Desert horned lizard)
Lineage: Eukaryota; Metazoa; Chordata; Lepidosauria; Squamata; Phrynosomatidae
Source: the annotation of a GenBank genome assembly